Molecule: ribosomal RNA, 403 nt
Filed under: Bacteroidetes bacterium enrichment culture clone LiUU-17-363
Lineage: Bacteria; Pseudomonadati; Bacteroidota
Description: bacterial SSU rRNA
Rfam family: Bacterial small subunit ribosomal RNA
Source: RNAcentral
CAGCCGCCGCGGUAAUACGGAGGAUCCAAGCGUUAUCCGGAAUCAUUGGGUUUAAAGGGUCCGUAGGCGGUUUAGUAAGUCAGUGGUGAAAGCCCAUCGCUCAACGGUGGAACGGCCAUUGAUACUGCUAAACUUGAAUUAUUAGGAAGUAACUAGAAUAUGUAGUGUAGCGGUGAAAUGCUUAGAGAUUACAUGGAAUACCAAUUGCGAAGGCAGGUUACUACUAAUGGAUUGACGCUGAUGGACGAAAGCGUGGGUAGCGAACAGGAUUAGAUACCCUGGUAGUCCACGCCGUAAACGAUGGAUACUAGCUGUUGGAAGCAAUUUCAGUGGCUAAGCGAAAGUGAUAAGUAUCCCACCUGGGGAGUACGUUCGCAAGAAUGAAACUCAAAGGAAUUGACGG